CCUACGGGUGGCAGCAGUGGGGAAUAUUGGACAACGGGGGGAACCCUGAUCCAGCCAUGCCGCGUGUGUGAAGAAGGCCCUCGGGUUGUAAAGCACUUUCAGUGAGGAAGAACGCCUGGUGGUUAAUACCCAUCAGGAAAGACAUCACUCACAGAAGAAGCACCGGCUAACUCCGUGCCAGCAGCCGCGGUAAUACGGAGGGUGCGAGCGUUAAUCGGAAUUACUGGGCGUAAAGCGCGCGUAGGUGGCUUGAUAAGCCGGUUGUGAAAGCCCCGGGCUCAACCUGGGAACGGCAUCCGGAACUGUCAAGCUAGAGUGCAGGAGAGGAAGGUAGAAUUCCCGGUGUAGCGGUGAAAUGCGUAGAGAUCGGGAGGAAUACCAGUGGCGAAGGCGGCCUUCUGGACUGACACUGACACUGAGGUGCGAAAGCGUGGGUAGCAAACAGGAUUAGAUACCCUGGUAGUC
This 465-nucleotide ribosomal RNA is filed under the name Vreelandella stevensii. Its description in RNAcentral is "partial 16S ribosomal RNA". It matches the Rfam family "Bacterial small subunit ribosomal RNA", at positions 338 to 795 of the family's 1533-position model. Lineage: Bacteria; Pseudomonadati; Pseudomonadota; Gammaproteobacteria; Oceanospirillales; Halomonadaceae. The record is from RNAcentral.